This is a non-coding RNA of Podarcis lilfordi (Lilford's wall lizard), 70 nucleotides long. The record is from the annotation of a GenBank genome assembly. Lineage: Eukaryota; Metazoa; Chordata; Lepidosauria; Squamata; Lacertidae.
GCGAUAGCUCAGCCCGUAGAGCUUGAGACUCUUAAUCUUAGGGUCAUGAGUUUGAGCCCCAUGUUGGGCG